Molecule: long non-coding RNA, 198 nt
Organism: Hemicordylus capensis (graceful crag lizard)
Lineage: Eukaryota; Metazoa; Chordata; Lepidosauria; Squamata; Cordylidae
Exons: 3
Source: RefSeq, a predicted model, not a curated record
UUUUCAGGGUUUGGUGGGGGCAUUGCUGGAGAACUGGAGACCUGAAGAAUAAGUAUGUAAUCUUCAAAAAAGCAAAAAACAAAACAAAACAACAAAAAAACCGUAAAGAGUUUGAGAAAAGUGUGCUGCAUGAAAAACAGAGAAUAAAAGGAGGAGAAAAGGAUAAUCCUGGAAGACAUCUUCAAGCCCAAAAGGAAU